AACAAAGAAAAAGUCCUGAAUAAAGCAUUGCAGAGAAGAACCUGGUCCUGUUGCGUCUUUCCUUGCUGGCAGGAUUGGGCGCAAGAACUGGUGGUCCUUACCGGGACUUCUUUUGGUUCAGAACUCUCAACGCCAGGAGAGGUACCGGGUGCUGAAGGAACAUGCUAGCUGCCAAAGUAUGCUAAUGGUGAGACAAAGAAUGAUGCUGAUUAUAAUCAUUGAAAAUGGCCACAGUCCUCAACACUUUUGGAUGCCUCCUAAUAAUGCUGACAUCACGGACAUCUACGGACUCAAUAUCCUUCUUUGCAUGGCAAAUUUAUUUAGCUAAAAAUUGGACAAAUUAUAAACAGAUUAAAGGGAUAUAUUGGUUACUACUGAUUGCCCCCCUUUAGGGUGUCAAAAGGCCAUAUAUUUAAAUUUUACAGAUUUCAAGUGUAGACCAGAUAGAGUGUGGCCUGCCAUUUAUUUUCUUUAAGAUAUCCACAGGAUUUACUUUGGUUGUUUGGGACCUUUGGGGGAGCCUCUGGACUUCUCCUGUGGGGUUACAUCUAAGUAAAACACAAUGUUACAUCCUCAGCUAGUUUUCUAACAGAUGAUGAGUCAUCAAGACCUCUAAUUCUUCUACAAAGGGAUGGUACACACCUUUACAAAUUAGGUUUACCACUCAUGCAAAAUCUCCCAAUCCACAUUGACAAAUAGGCUAUGAAUGGGGUCUUCGCCUCUAUGUGCUUGGCUUUGAUGCAGGUAUUAUUUUCUCCAUUAAGCUCCUUAAAGAGCCGUUAUAUCAUGCCCAGCCAGUCCCAAUGGGACCUAAUUCUGUGUUGGUACCUCAUCCUAUUCCUCCUAAAGGAAUGAUGCCACCUGUACUCCUUCUAUUAAAGACACUUCCCUACCUACUGUAUUUCCCCUCCAGUCACCAGCUAAGCCAUCAGCCACUACACUGCCUGUACUGCCAGCUCCCACUAAAAAUCUUGUACUUUCUUUAGUUAAUCAGACAUUUCUCAUUUUAAAUAAAACUUCCCCUAAACUUGUUGAAGAUUGCUGGCUGUGCUACCAUUCCCAGCCACCCUUUUAUGAAGGAAUUGCUGUUCUCAGUGCGCCCCCCCCCACUCCAUCCCCUGUACUUUCUGGGUGUUCCUUUUGCCCAGAAGUCUGGGGGCGGUGCGCAUGGAGCUCUCUUUGGCUUAUCCAAUACUCCAGGAUCUGUAGGGCCAGAGGGCUUAUGAAGCCCUAGAUUUUAAAUUUAUUAAAUCUUUAGCUGAAUCGGUCAGAAACUUUGGGACCUCCGCUCCCUUUAUGGUGGUUCAGGAUAAUGAUAGGUGUUGAAGCCACUUUGCAUGCAGAGUUCUUGUCAAUACAAAAUGAAAACAUACGUAUAUAAACAUUAUAAAUGAUAUUAUUAACAUUUAUGAAGACUAUUAUUAUCCUAAUGACGACAUGGUGACACACAACCACCUGUGAUGAGAUCGAACGCCCUCUUCUGGUAUGUCUGAAGACAACUACAAUAUACUUAUUUAUAAUUUAAUCUUUAAAACGGUGCCUGGACAGGACCCUUUGGGACAAGGCACAUAAAGUUUGUAUCCCAAAGAGGGUAUAUAGAAACAUUCAGGGUAUAUAGAAAGCACAUUUAUUAUUUAUAUCAUCAAAAAUAAUGGCUUAAAAAUAAUUUUAUAUUUUUAUAUACAUAAAAUUAUAAAAAUUUAUUCUUGAUGUCCUAAAUUUCUACUUCUACCACAUAAUGAUGUUGAUUCUAGAGGACUUAAUUAACUUUUACAGAUAAUUGAUACUCAUAUUUCUAAUUUAAAAAAUCAAAAUAUGGGCAUAUAACUAUGAUUUAUUUUGGGGCAUUCUAGUUACAGCCACUCUAGCAAAGGGCAACUGAGAAUUCUAUGUUUAUUUUCUAUAGUUACUUAGUUAUUGCAUAUAUUAUGAUAUAUACUUGGUGUUCCAACUUAGAUUGGGACAAACAAUAAAACUGGCUAUUUAAUGAAUAAAGACUAUUCAUUUGACAUAUCUUUAACAAUUUGAUUCUCAAAGAUGAGGUGAUAUUAAACAUUUUUACAAAACAAAACAAUAUCUUCUUAAAAAAGAAAAACAGAGGGGAAAUGAUAUCCCUGUGCAUAUAAUUUAAAUUAUAGAUAUAUAUUUUUAACGCAUAUAUAUAUUUAAGAAAAUUUUAAAAUUUAGAUGCCAAGAAAAGCCUUGCUAAAUAUAUAUGGGUUCCUAUCACUAGGCAUGCCAAUGCCUAGAUGAGAUGGAAGAAUUCACUUAUUGGCAUUGCUGUUGUCCUCAAGAUAAAUUAAUAAUGUUUCUUAGAUAUGCCUGAGGUUGUAUUUCCUAAUAUGAUCUUUAUAGCCUCUACAUAAAAAUACUCUUGAUUUUCAUAGAUGGCUCUCUGAAAGAAGAGCUAGAUAUCUUAUUUAUAAUCAACAGGUGGCUAUAAAAACACCUGGGCUCAGCUCAGUUAGCAGAGCUGACAAUGAUAUUAAAUAUUUUUCAACUUAUACAUUAUACUUUUAAUCCUUUUACAAUUUGCUUGUAUGUUGAAAAUUUUGUGCUUUAUUGGAAACCAAUGGCAUGUUUAAUUUUGAUACACCAUGAUGCCAAAUUGUUUUCUCGUCUUUUUAGUGUUAACAAAACUUUUGAUAUUUCCUAUUUACCUUUAGAUAAAGAAAUAGCUGGAAUAGGUCAAAAUAGAAAUAUGACCUUGCCUGGUAGUCUAUGCUUUGCAUUUGGAGAUAAUAUGUUACCUGAUGGCUCAUGCCCUAAAUAAUCUCUCAUCUAGCAUUGCUCAUGCAAUUGAUGUGCAAUCGAGCCUUAAUGGUCAACUGAAAGGAGGCUUAAUGGUUAUAAACCAAAGAAUUGAUUUAGUAAAGAACAAAUUGAGACCUUUUGGCAGCUACCCCAAUUGGAAUGUCAGUGGAAGUAUUCUAGUUUAUGUAUUACCAGCAUUCAGUAUGAGAAUUUUACAAGAGCUACGAAUUUGUCUAAACAAAUGUCUAAGUAUCUUUUAGGAAAUUGGACUAGUGAAUUUGAUGCCCCGAUGGACCAACUCCGUAUGGCUAUCGUGGCCGUGAAUUCCACUUGAUUGGAUGUGUCUUUGGCUGAAGGACCGUCAUCAUGGAUCUCCAACGCCUUUUCUUGGAUCAAAGAGUGGGCUGGCAUGUUAGCAAUAGUCGCCCUUAUGUGCUUAGCAGCUUUCAUCUGCCUUUGGUGCUUCUGCCCCAUCAGACAAGAUCAUGCAGCUCAUAGAGCAAUAGUUUAUCAGGAUCUCAUAGCCAUAGACACCCAAGAAGACAUCUCUAUUUAGCUGACCUCCCUAAAAUCUUAGAAGCUUUCGCUCCAGGGUACACGGAACAUACAAUACUGUUUUAAACCCAAUGAUACACAAAGACGGGCAACUUCUCAGUGCUUGGAUCAACCUAAGAUAUGGGGCCUGGUGAGUGAUAGGGUAACCCUUUGACGGGUAAGACCAAGUCGUGGCAGAGAUGACCUAAGACAGGGGUCAUUGGUAAACAGAAUGCCAGUGACCUGAUUAGCCCUGACCUGGGACGGCUUCUAUAAAACAAAAAAGGGAGAAAUGUAGUAAGCCACCUUUGUUCAUUCGCCAUUACAAGAUGGUGCUGGCCAGAUGCAGCUCUCUGGUGGUAAACAACUUUAGUACAUGUGCAAUGUGCUGUGUAUGUUAUCACACUUAUAUGCUAAUGAAGAAUUCACUUAGUUCACCUAUCAGGAAGCGGUGCACUAUCUAUCUUCUGCAGACGAGGCGAAUAGCUAUAUAAGGGCAGCUGGGAGAGGGCUCGGGGCCCCAGUAAGAAGAACAAAGAAAAAGUCCUGAAUAAAUCGUUGCAGAGAAAAACCUGGUCCUGUUGCGUCUUUCCUUGCUGGCAGGGUUGGGCGCAAGAGUGGGGACCAACUGGAGAUUUUUGCACUCAGGGAUUGUACUGGCUGGCUUUGUGUAUCAACUUGUCAGAAGCUGGAGUUACCACAGAGAAAGGAGACUCCCUUGAGGAAAUGCCUCCAUGUGAUCAGGUGUAAGGCAUUUUCACAUUUGGUGAUCAAGGGUGGUAGUGCCAUUGUGGAUGGUGCCAUCCCUGACCUGGUAGUCUUGGGUUCUAUAAGAAAGCAAGAUGAGAAAGCCAGGGUCUGCAAGCCUGUAAAUAAUAUCCACCCAUGGCUUCUGCAUCAGCUUCUGCUUCCUGACCUGCCUGAGUUUCUGCCCUGACAUUGUUUAGUUAUCAACAGUAAUGUGGAAGUAUAAA
Long non-coding RNA from Apodemus sylvaticus (European woodmouse), 4262 nucleotides. RefSeq lists it as uncharacterized. NCBI's taxonomy places the organism in Eukaryota, Metazoa, Chordata, Mammalia, Rodentia, Muridae. The record is from RefSeq and is a predicted model, not a curated record. The transcript has 3 exons.